UACAGAGGUCUCAAGCGUUGUUCGGAUUCAUUGGGCGUAAAGGGUGCGUAGGUGGCGCGCUAAGUCAGGUGUGAAAUUUCGGAGCUCAACUCCGAAACUGCAUUUGAUACUGGCGUGCUUGAGGACUGGAGAGGAGACUGGAAUUUACGGUGUAGCAGUGAAAUGCGUAGAGAUCGUAAGGAAGACCAGUGGCGAAGGCGGGUCUCUGGACAGUUCCUGACGCUGAGGCGCGAAGGCCAGGGGAGCAAACGGG
Molecule: ribosomal RNA, 253 nt
Filed under: uncultured bacterium
Lineage: Bacteria
Description: partial 16S ribosomal RNA
Rfam family: Bacterial small subunit ribosomal RNA
Source: RNAcentral